GGUAAAAUGGCUGAAGAUAGGCAGUAAACUGUAAAUUUAUUUAUGGGAAGUAUUUCUCUUUUACCA
This 66-nucleotide transfer RNA is filed under the name Myrmeleon immanis. Its description in RNAcentral is "tRNA-Tyr". Lineage: Eukaryota; Metazoa; Arthropoda; Insecta; Neuroptera; Myrmeleontidae. The record is from RNAcentral.